Molecule: long non-coding RNA, 470 nt
Filed under: Rattus norvegicus (Norway rat)
Lineage: Eukaryota; Metazoa; Chordata; Mammalia; Rodentia; Muridae
Description: long non-coding RNA NONRATT025721
Source: RNAcentral
GAACGGCUUUAUUAAUACCUGCCUUACCCUUUCAUUGAAGGUGAACCCUUCCAUGCUUGCUAUUCCAGAAGUAUUCUGUUCCCAUUGCCACUGCUGCGUGUGUCAGCCUUGUGGCUGUACCUUAUGUCCAACUCAGAAUGUGUGCUGUGUGAGUGGAGAUGUGCUCCUAUGGUACGCUGCCCUUCCUCCCAGAAGGCAUCUUGCCCAGCCCUGUUUCCCACUUAGCCUUGGCAAGGCGCUCAGUCACUCAGGUGGCAAUUCGAGCAGUGGCAUUCACUUACAGUUUUACAUCCCUGAAUUGAACCCCGAGCUUUUCCAGCGACUAGUGCAGGGGGCUGCCCAAAAUAACCACCCAACUGCCGAACAAAUAACAAAUGGGUCUUCUUACUACUCAAUAAAAUACUGGUAUUUUCAUCUUAAUGUAGCGAUAGAUUGUUUCAGGUUACAAAUAGGUCUGGCCAGGGAAAAAA